GUUCCAAACACGCCCUCAUCUCUCUCAACCCUUUCAUCUCUCUCAUCUCUCUCGUUCUUCAAACCCUAGCAGUCCAAGUUCCACCAUUGUUACAGAGCAAAGGAACUCCAUUUUUUCCUCCCAAAAAAUCCGUCUCCACAACCUUCCUUCAUCCCUGACUUUUAGUCUCUCACCAUAACCCCCAAAUCGUCACUAAGCGGAGCCAAGUCUGGACUUGAAAAGGGAAGAAGACGAAAAGAUUUUUCUAGUUUGGGGCUGAAGAUUAAAAUCGAAACUGGUCUCGUUCGUCCGUUCUUGACAAGAACGCAUGAUUGAGACUAAUUUCAGCUCAAAGUCGAUGAGUUCGAGUUCCUUCAAGUUUGGUCCAUGUUCAGCUGUUGAAUAGGUACCAUCAUUUUCUCCUUUUCCCCGUUCUUUUGAUUCUUCACUCCGUCGUCAUAUCCCUCCAUGCGUUUUUUUCUUUUCUUGGUCAGUACUUGUUUAUUGAAACAAUUUCUGGUGGUGAUUAAAGUAAGAGCAUGCUAGCUACAUUUAUUUAAUCCUCGUGCUCAGUGUUAGUAGUUCUUGUUUUCUUUCAAUUAUUUCUGCUUUCAAUUCAAAACUGCUUGGUUCAUAGUCAAUCAGGAGUUACUGAAUGGGUUUGGGUUUUGGGUAAAUUGAAAGCCUAAAGUGAAAGAAGAUCAGUCCGGCUUGGGGCUAAACUCUGGGUCAACUUGGCCCGCCUGGUUUCAUACAGUAAUUACAGGGUACUAGGAGGGUAGUUUAGGUAUUUGGGGUUAGGGAAUUUUGCUAUAACAGAAAUAGAAGCUUCUAGGGUGGGGUUUUAAUUUGAAUUUCAGGAUCUGGGUAGUAUGAACCUGGUGAACAAGUCAAGAUUCUAGAGACUUUUAAGUAAAAUGCAUAAAUUAAAAGGGAUCUAAGAGUGUAAAUUAAAAUUUGAGAGGUGCCCUACUUACUUGCCUAUAAAAGCAUUCUUACUUGCCUUAGAAGGCAGUGGAUGAAGAACUGAAAAAUAGAGAAAAAUAGAGACGGCUACAGUGUCUGGGUAGAUUCUGUGUUCUAGCUACUGUUUCAUUGAUUUUGAGUUGAUUUCACUGAAAGUUGGCUGAAUCUGGGUUGUUCUACCGCUGUUUCUGAGCUUACUGAUCCUUAUUUCCUCUUUGUUACUUCUUUUUCCAGGUAUUCCUGAUUCUCUAAGAGAUGAAAUGCAAAAAUGAAAGUUGUAAUUGCCAGAAGUUUUUCAUGAAUAAAUGACUGUUUCUCUUUAAAUCUUUAAUGUCAAUUAUUUGUUUAAGAUUUCCUCGAAUCAUAUAGAGUAGAGUAAUGAUAUUCAGCCUAGUUUGUUCAUCUUAGUAUAGUAGUAGUAUUUUGGGGAUUCAUGCUGCCCUUUUGUUUAGUCAGAGAUUUGUGGACUGUUCGUUGGUUUGAACAUGUGAGGGACUGUAUAUAUGGACUGUUUGUUUAAGACAUUUUGGUUAUGCAUAUGUUCAGUUAUAUGAUUAAGUUUGUUUUUAUCUCUAGUUUGUCAUCUUCAUUCAAAGCGUUAGGAUUCAUUCAAUUAAAAGAUAAUGUCUCAUACAUUUGCAUGAAAAUUAGGUUUGUUUUGUCAAUGGAUGUAAAGUUUUUGCUAUAGGAGCAGAAAUGGUAUGGUUCAUUGAAGCACAAGUCCAAAAAUCGAUUAAAUGUGUUUUCAUUAUAUCACUUUAUAUGAUUACGCCUACUGCUUCAUGCGGGUUUAAAUAACAUUGAAGUCUC
This 1755-nucleotide long non-coding RNA is filed under the name Nicotiana tabacum (common tobacco). RNAcentral's name for it is "long non-coding RNA (NTAB_LNC008243)". Lineage: Eukaryota; Viridiplantae; Streptophyta; Magnoliopsida; Solanales; Solanaceae. The record is from RNAcentral.